UGAGGAAUAUUGGUCAAUGGGCGAGAGCCUGAACCAGCCAAGUCGCGUGAAGGAAGACAGUCCUAAGGAUUGUAAACUUCUUUUAUACGGGAAUAACGGGCGAUACGAGUAUUGCAUUGAAUGUACCGUAAGAAUAAGCAUCGGCUAACUCCGUGCCAGCAGCCGCGGUAAUACGGAGGAUGCGAGCGUUAUCCGGAUUUAUUGGGUUUAAAGGGUGCGUAGGUUGUUCGGUAAGUCAGCGGUGAAACCUGAGCGCUCAACGUUCAGCCUGCCGUUGAAACUGCCGGGCUUGAGUUCAGUGGCGGCAGGCGGAAUUCGUGGUGUAGCGGUGAAAUGCAUAGAUAUCACGAGGAACUCCGAUUGCGAAGGCAGCUUGCCAUACUGCGACUGACACUGGAGCACGAAGGCGUGGGUAUCAAACAGGAUUAGAUACCCUGGUAGUCCACGCAGUAAACGAUGAUUACUAGGAGUUUGCGAUAUACCGUCAAGCUUCCACAGCGAAAGCGUUAAGUAAUCCACCUGGGGAGUACGCCGGCAACGGUG
This 543-nucleotide ribosomal RNA is filed under the name uncultured bacterium. RNAcentral describes it as "bacterial SSU rRNA". It matches the Rfam family "Bacterial small subunit ribosomal RNA", at positions 355 to 896 of the family's 1533-position model. The record is from RNAcentral.